RNAcentral lists this long non-coding RNA (519 nucleotides) under Lynx canadensis (Canada lynx). Its description in RNAcentral is "lncRNA (ENSLCNG00005007592.1)". The record is from RNAcentral. Lineage: Eukaryota; Metazoa; Chordata; Mammalia; Carnivora; Felidae.
GGCGGGAACCUUUGGAGCGGGGGUCGGGCGCCGCCAGCGGGGGCCAGCUUGCCCUGAAGAGGGAAAGGAGAAGGCUGUUCGAGAGCCCUGGUCUGGGAGUCGGGAGACCCGGGUUCCAUUUGUAUGUACUUGAGGGAGGAAGCGAACUUCUGGGUGCGUCGCUUUUCUGGUUUCCAGAAGCGAAUGCUGUUCCUUGCUUUUCCAGUUGGCAGAGUUGCGUGGGUUGAAUGAGUAUAGAUUUCUGCCCUCCCUCAAGAGAAGGUUCCAGGAGACAAACCAGUGUCGCUUGUGUUCCUAACAGCUUAUCUCUGGGUUAUUGUGAUCUGUAUAUAUUAUUGAGAAGAGGAUAAAAUCAAGAUUCUGCAAUGCAGGUCCCUUGUUCUGCACAGAGGACAUCUUCCUUCAUGAUUUUUUUUUUAGGCAAGAAGACCAAGCCUGAUGUAACAAACAGUGUUAAGUGACUUGUGGAAGAUGACGAGGAUGUCGAGGGUCAGGGAACCUGGUCAUCAGGGGUUUACA